AUUGAACGCUGGCGGCAUGCCUUACACAUGCAAGUCGAACGGUAACGCGGGGCAACCUGGCGACGAGUGGCGAACGGGUGAGUAAUAUAUCGGAACGUGCCCAGUAGUGGGGGAUAGCCCGGCGAAAGCCGGAUUAAUACCGCAUGAGACCUGAGGGUGAAAGCGGGGGAUCGCAAGACCUCGCGCUAUUGGAGCGGCCGAUAUCAGAUUAGGUAGUUGGUGGGGUAAAGGCCUACCAAGCCGACGAUCUGUAGCUGGUCUGAGAGGACGACCAGCCACACUGGGACUGAGACACGGCCCAGACUCCUACGGGAGGCAGCAGUGGGGAAUUUUGGACAAUGGGCGCAAGCCUGAUCCAGCCAUGCCGCGUGCGGGAAGAAGGCCUCGGUUGUAACGAC
Molecule: ribosomal RNA, 398 nt
Filed under: uncultured bacterium
Lineage: Bacteria
Description: bacterial SSU rRNA
Rfam family: Bacterial small subunit ribosomal RNA
Source: RNAcentral